UACAACACGUAAAUUUACAUGUUACAAAUGGCGCCCAGCGUGAUUUUGGUAAUGGUAAUCGUUUGAGCUAGUGUACCCAUACAGACCCCCUCGGUGGUGAUACUUGCGCAUGUGUGAAUUGUGAAACCGGAACAUCCUAGAUAUUGACAUCAACAGAAAAACAGUGUGGUUUUUGUGAAUGAAGAUUAAAUUUUCAAAUAUUUUAACCUGAUACAGUGAUUAUAAUGUAACGAAGCUUAUUGAUAUGAAUCCCCAUAAAAGACGGCAAUUAUAGACUACUACAACGACAAUCAAAGUACUGAAGUACUGAACAUCGGAUGACCGCAGGUUCUUGUGUAUGGUCAAAAGCACAUGUCACAGAAACAGAUCACAUCUCUAUACCUGAAACUGAGGUUAAUUUACAGAGAUUUUUUUUUUCUGAUACAAGUUCGUGCUUGGAUGAUGAAUAAAUGACAGGAAAUUCAACCUCACCGUAAUAACUAUUAUAUUGUAGUGAUACAAAUCAGUAUACCUUAGACUAUUAUACUAAUAUAAUAAUAGUUCCAGAGAAUACACUGGUUUGUUGUUAUAUAUUAUAUUAAUAUUACGGUUGCAUGUAUAUAUAAUUUUCAUCUAUUUGUAUAUCAUUCUAUUCUACUAUUAUUAUAGUGCAAGUGCAUGGUGGACACUCUUCUGUAAAAAAAAUCAAAGCCUUAAAGGCUGUAAAAGCAAUUGCUGCCAUGUUAAUGUUUUGUGGACUUUUAUUUUUCAUCCAUAUAUAUAUAAGAAUUAAACCUGACAGGACAGGAGUGUUGACUAGUGAGAAGCAAGACGGUUUUAACUUUAUAUCAAUAAAAGACUUUAGCAGGAAAUCAUUUUAAA
Mytilus californianus (California mussel) is the source of this 861-nucleotide long non-coding RNA. RefSeq lists it as uncharacterized. The record is from RefSeq and is a predicted model, not a curated record. The transcript is spliced from 2 exons. Lineage: Eukaryota; Metazoa; Mollusca; Bivalvia; Mytilida; Mytilidae.